AAGUUACAUGUCUUAACUCAGCAUUAGUUUAUAUUUACUUAUAUUUAAGUAAGAAUUCAUUUAGGUAUACGUUCAAUGUUUCCAAUGAUGAGCAGUUAAUCCACUAAACCCAAAGAUAAUUCCUGAGGCAUGUUUAAAGAGUUUUGUAUUUCAUCAAGUAAGUGCUGAUUCACAAAGAUUAUAUAUUUAAGAAAAUCUGAGCAUCAUUCAAAAUAACUGUUAACAUGUUUGUCAACUAAACAUGUUUUGUCAACGUUAUAAACUUUAUAGAAAUAUUUUUUAUUAAUGACCAAGUAUAAAGAACAAUGCAUAGUGUGAAAACGCGGAUUAUAUAAAAGUAUAUAAUAAAGUGCGAGCAGAGAAUCUUGGGCUGGAAUGAUUGUAGUGCAUCCAAUGCACCUUGGAAAUCGUAGUUUACAUCUACAGCAGCAUAUGCUACAGCAGUGACAACGCCAAAGAAAAGGACUACAUUUCCCAGAAUGCACCUGCACCCACUCAUCUGCCCCUUCAGGUGCGACCGCUUCACCUAUGGGCUUGACGGGAAAAUUCAAAAUCGCGAACCGUUACAGCCUGGACGGUGUCUUUGUUUGCUUGCACAUCAACAGUAAGAGGUCAUGUACACUGUGGUCAACUUUGUGGACGCUGAAGAGGUUUCUGGGUAAAGAUGAUAAAAAUAUAAUUAAGUAACAGUGGAAGCUAAAACAUCAGACUGAUCCAGACACUGAAGAAAUUGAUGUCACUGCAAUCUGGCCAAAAUGAUACAACUAUGUUGAAGUAGCCUACUGUAAUGCAGCUGCAGAACGUCACAGAGACUCUUGAGGACAUCAACACAGAAAAUCAAGGGUCCAAAGAGAUGUCUGUCCAGAUGAGGGUGCAUCAACGUUACCUUUGCUGACAAGUAUAUGCUUUUAGCAGUUAACUUAACUCAAACCAUUUAAGGAAAUCGGUUGCCUUAAACCAUUAAGUUUUAAAAAACAUACAUUUGAGUACUUUGAACUUAAGUCUUGUGUAAUUAUGCACUUAUAUUUAGGUAGCGUGAACUUAAACAAAUUGAGUCACAUGCAGUUAAGCACUUAUAUUUAAGUUCACAGUACUCAAAUCUAUGUGUUUUAAAACUUGAAUGGUUUAAUGCAACCGGUUUUCUUAAAUGUGAGAAAUUACAGUGUUACAGUGAGAAAUGUUUGAAUAAUUCCAAGACAGAGCUCUGUGAUUAAUUCUACACUGCAAAAAAUCACUUUCUAACACUUUUUAUCUUGUUUUCAGUAGAAAAACUAAAAAUUCUUAAAUCAAGAUGUAUUUUCUUGAUGAGCAAAAUUACCUUAGAAAAUAUGUCUAGUUUUUAGACAAAAAUAUACAAUUUAAGAUAAUUUGUGCCUAAACAAGCAAAAAUAUCUAACAUUGGGGUGAGAAAAUUGUGUUUUAAUUAAGUUUUUAAGAUAAAAGAAAACUUAAGAUUUUUUUUCUCACACUAUUGGAAGAUAUUUUUGCUUGUUUUAAGCACAAUUUCACUUAAUGUAUGUGUGUGUAUUUUAUUUAUUUAUUUAUUUUGUCUAAAACUAGACUUAUUUUCUUGGGUCAUUUUGUUCCUCAAGAACAAGCAUUUUAAUUUAAAUAAUAUUUGUACUGAAAAGAAGACAAAAAUACUAUGUAAGAAAGUCAUUUUUUGCAGUGUAGGACUGAUUUCUUAAGAGCACAAUCAAUAUAGUUGUUGUUCAUUUUAUUUAGACAUUUACUACAUUACAGUGGCAGCUGGUGACGACUUUUUUUUUGUGAGCACUCGAUGCGAAGUUUGUCACAACAUGUAUAUAGCCCGUCAUUUGUGUGGUUCUCAAUUUCAAAAUAUGUGUUCUGCGUGUAUGUGUAUCACGUGUUUUGACUAAACACGUGAUGCACGUGGUUUACAUGAAGCAACAAACACGUAUUUUAAAAACACAAGCAACACACAUGACACUCCGAACACUUAUUUUGAAUUUGCAACCCUCGGAUGAGCAGUCACGAGCCGCCACUGCUACAUUACAUUGUACUGCUUUGAAUGUAGUUUUCAUUGUUGCUUUUAUUUUGUUUUAUUUUACUCUAAUAUUGCUUUCUCUGUCUGUAUAUUUAUGAGUUUAAAUUGUAUUGUUUAU
Molecule: long non-coding RNA, 2126 nt
Organism: Misgurnus anguillicaudatus (oriental weatherfish)
Lineage: Eukaryota; Metazoa; Chordata; Actinopteri; Cypriniformes; Cobitidae
Source: RefSeq, a predicted model, not a curated record